AAUCUGUGUUAUGGGCAUUGACAGAGUAAACCUUUGUAUAGUUCCCAAGCCUCUAAAUAGCAUUUUGAAUCCAAUUGUUGAAAAUGUGAUCUCGUCCCUUAGCUU
RNAcentral lists this small nucleolar RNA (105 nucleotides) under Olea europaea subsp. europaea. Its description in RNAcentral is "Plant small nucleolar RNA R71". It matches the Rfam family "Plant small nucleolar RNA R71". Rfam says of the family: R71 is a member of the C/D box family of snoRNAs containing the C (UGAUGA) and D (CUGA) box motifs. Multiple nearly identical copies of this snoRNA have been identified in Arabidopsis, and it is thought to function as a 2'-O-ribose methylation guide for 18S ribosomal RNA. The record is from Rfam by way of RNAcentral. Lineage: Eukaryota; Viridiplantae; Streptophyta; Magnoliopsida; Lamiales; Oleaceae.